UAUUAUAAGCAAUUUAUUCACAUCACUCAUCAGCAUGACUAAUCGAUGUUGUGUUCCACAAUGUGAUAGUGUCAGAGUCAGGGGAUCUUGCACCCUGUUUUUGGUACCAUCCAAGCGAUUUUGUUCCGGUGAAAAAUUUAUAUGGGCAGACAAACUUGAAAAAAUUGUAAUGGGUCUGCGGGCUGAUUCUAAUAUCAAAUACCUGUAUUUACGUGACAGAGUAAAAAUUUGUGAAAGGCACUUUGAAGAAAAUGACAUUCAAAAAAUUGGAACACAGUUGCGUCUCCGAAUUGGUGCAAUACCCAAGCUAAACAUGCCCCAAAAAAGUUGUUCGAAGUUGCCAACUUUGAAUAGAUCUUCAAAAGAGAAAAAAGUAGCCGAAAAAAUACAUCAUAAAAAUUUGCAGGACUUGAAAAAAAGUGCAUCAAAUUAUUUACCCUCUAACUGGAAAUACCAGGAUUCAGAUGAUAGUAUUCAACUUUUUCUCAAGCCCAAAUCAGCUGCAGAGCAAUCAAGUUUAGCCAUAAAUAUUGAUUCAGAGUUGCAUAUCAGUGCACUUUAUCAUGGUUGGACUAGUGUUACAUCUGAAGUCCUAAAUAAUAUUGAUAUAAAACACACAACUUUAUCAAAUAUCCUGCAUAUUAUUUAUACAUCAAUCAUUUGUGAGGGUAUAACUGGCAGCAGCAAUUCCAGUUCGACAACAAGUCAACAUUUUGAAGUGUCCUUUUCGAGAACUAAUUCAGAAAAAUUCAAACAAGGGCUUGCUUGCGUUAAGAUCACUAAAUUGUGAAAUAUUUAUUUCAUCUGGGAAAAGAUGCAAACAGUGUUUCAAAGAGGAAAAAAGGACUGUUAAGUCAUCAGAAAGCCAAAAAAAGUAUUUUGAUGCUAUGGGAUGUUGUUGAAAUCUCGGAAAAAAUACCUCCGUUAAGGCUAAGGACAAUGAGUAUCGUAUGUUUCUGUCGAAUCGAUGUGUCAUUUGCAUACUAAUUGUUGUCUAUAAAAUUGUUUUUUAUGUUACAGGCUGAAUAAAUUAGAAGACAGAAUUGAAAAAUUAUUGGCAAAACAGGAAUAUCAUGUUCUCGUUGAUACUGACAUUGCAGAAGAUAUGAAUUUAUCAAUAAAAGGGAAAGUCAAAGAAAAUAUUGUCUACAAUUCAAAAAAAGAUAUGAUGGUUGGCUUCGUUGACUUGGGAGAGUCGAGAAAAAAGUUCCUGCACACAAUGCACUGCAAGUUUAUACAUGUGGUUUGAUUGGAAAGUUUUCAAAGCCCUUAACGUUCUAUGCAACAAAUUUCAUUCGCUCAGACCAUCUCACCAGCAUUUUCUUGGGAAAGUGUCGGAGAACUCCAAGAAUGUGGGUUUAGGGUCAUCGCACUCAUUACAAAUGGACUUGGAGUGCAAACCGUAAAAAGUUCCAUGAAUUAAAUAAUUUGAAGGUUUCCAUACAAAUGUAUCAAUGUGUUCCUCCCUGACCAUUUCAUUUACCUCGUAUUCGACCCUCCUCAUUUACUCAAAACAGUACACAAUAAUGUGUUUGCGAGUCACGCUUGUGGAACUCGCCUAUUAAAAAAGAGGGCAAGUCCCGAUUCUAUAAUCAGUUACUUUUAUCUAUUAUUAUUAUCGUAUAUUGCUGAUUAUGGAGUCGAAAUAAACUUAUAACUAUUCUGUGGGACCAUUUUCGUGCAGUACCAUCCUUCUCUUCGUCUGAAGAGUUAAUGCUUCUGCAAAUUGACAGAAUCCCAUAUGUGCUUACAAAGCUACACAAAAAUACAGCCUAAGUGCUGUCUAGAACUGUUGCAGGAUUGAUGCAGCAGAGAGGUGGACCUGAGAUGCAACAAAGCUCUCGAUUAGCAUCAUCAAUGGAUAAAUGCAGAAAUGGUUUGAUAUUAUGAAUACUAUGCCAAAUUUUGGAUAUAAAAAGUGCUCCACCUCGGAGUCGAUGGAACCACUGUCCAAGAUGUUACAAUGUUUCUGCGUCAAUAUUACAUGAAAUAAAUACGUGAUUUUACUGUCAUACAAGUUGUUUCAAUCUUUCACCUAAUCCCUCGAUAUCCCAACCCUACUUGGAUAUACUGUAUGGGAAAAAACUUGAGAAAUAUUUCAGGCAUCGACUUCCUUACUGCGUGACAUUGGCCAAUCAGCAAGAUGCAAAAAGUGACUUAACAAUGCUCCCUUUUCGCAUCCGCUCAGACACUUUCCUCACUC
Molecule: non-coding RNA, 2203 nt
Organism: Styela clava
Lineage: Eukaryota; Metazoa; Chordata; Ascidiacea; Stolidobranchia; Styelidae
Source: RefSeq, a predicted model, not a curated record